Molecule: long non-coding RNA, 859 nt
Filed under: Anser cygnoides (Swan goose)
Lineage: Eukaryota; Metazoa; Chordata; Aves; Anseriformes; Anatidae
Description: lncRNA (ENSACDG00005009238.1)
Source: RNAcentral
UGGAUGCUGCAAAUUAUUUCAAGUAAUUUUCUAAUGGGAGAUUGAGGCUGAGAUCUGAUCAAUAAAACAGUAGCACAACCAAUUUGCUUUAUCAUUGAAAAGCUAAAUUUCUGAGUGACAAAGAUUAUAGAUUUCUUAGUAAGCAGGAUUUAUUUAUUUAUUUAUUUAUUUUAAUAGAAAAGAAGGUGAAAAGCAAUGAUUAACUGAUACUAGAAUUUAAUGAAGUUGGAAAUCAACAUAGCCAUGUGGCAUGACAGAAUUACACUUAAAAAUGUAUUGUAAUUUCAGUAUGCAGCACUUCAAAUAUUUGCUCUUGAUUAAUAUAAGAGCUAGAAUAAGCAUCUAGCAGUCAGGAUUUAAGAGAGUAGUUUUCUCUGUAUUUAGUAAUUCAGAAUGAGAAUUCUUGUGAAGUUAUCUACUGAUACCUGCCCCCUGAGGCCAAAUUAAAUUCUUGAACAGGGAAGUAAAGAUUUGAGGUUCUGCAAGGAAUGUUGCUUUAUAACAUCAGAGGGAAGGAAGAAUUUAUUUGCUUUGAAAGAUGCUGGGCAACUGUUCAAAAAGACACUUAUAGAGGGAAGAGAGAUUCAUCAGCUAAGUAUCCAGCAGUAAUGUUCACAUAGUAAACCCCAUCAAAAUUGAGAGUGUAAGUGAAGUAUACAUUAUUGAUAAAGAUCAGUUUGAUCUUUAAGUUGUUUUUUUUUGAUCUUUGAUCUUAAGGUUUCUGGAGGGAGAAGAGACCAAUGCGAAGUGAUGCUGCUACCAACUUUUAGUUGCAAUGCUAUAGCCAUUUUCUGAUACUGUGCUCAUUCCUAUUAAAAAAAAAAAUAAAUCUCAGUUCCUUAAAAAUUAAGAAAGUGUC